This 224-nucleotide long non-coding RNA is filed under the name Vigna radiata. Its description in RNAcentral is "long non-coding RNA (VRAD_LNC012645)". The record is from RNAcentral. Lineage: Eukaryota; Viridiplantae; Streptophyta; Magnoliopsida; Fabales; Fabaceae.
AUCUCCCUUACAAGGUAAAGUUUCUUAUUCUUCAGAAGUGGAUGUACUAGACUCAGUAUAAGAAGAAUCCUUACUAUCACUCUCAUGUUUAAGGAUAUACAUUAACCUUUUAUUUCCACACUUAGAAACAUAAUGCCCUUUUUCUCCACACUUAUAGCACUUGGUCUCCUUAAUCUUAUUUUCCUUGGGAGGUUCUCUAGAAUAAUAUUUUCUUUUUCUUUUUC